Molecule: ribosomal RNA, 779 nt
Filed under: Novilysobacter spongiicola
Lineage: Bacteria; Pseudomonadati; Pseudomonadota; Gammaproteobacteria; Lysobacterales; Lysobacteraceae
Description: bacterial SSU rRNA
Rfam family: Bacterial small subunit ribosomal RNA
Source: RNAcentral
AGUCGACGGCAGCACAGGGGAGCUUGCUCCCUGGGUGGCGAGUGGCGGACGGGUGAGGAAUACGUCGGAAUCUGCCUUUUCGUGGGGGAUAACGUAGGGAAACUUACGCUAAUACCGCAUACGACCUACGGGUGAAAGCCGGGGACCUUCGGGCCUGGCGCGGAAAGAUGAGCCGACGUCGGAUUAGCUAGUUGGAGGGGUAAUGGCCCACCAAGGCGACGAUCCGUAGCUGGUCUGAGAGGAUGAUCAGCCACACUGGAACUGAGACACGGUCCAGACUCCUACGGGAGGCAGCAGUGGGGAAUAUUGGACAAUGGGCGCAAGCCUGAUCCAGCCAUGCCGCGUGUGUGAAGAAGGCCUUCGGGUUGUAAAGCACUUUUGUACGGGAAGAAAAGCUUCCGGUUAAUACCCGGGAGUCAUGACGGUACCGUAAGAAUAAGCACCGGCUAACUUCGUGCCAGCAGCCGCGGUAAUACGAAGGGUGCAAGCGUUACUCGGAAUUACUGGGCGUAAAGCGUGCGUAGGUGGUUUGUUAAGUCUGAUGUGAAAGCCCUGGGCUCAACCUGGGAAUUGCAUUGGAUACUGGCAGUCUAGAGUGCGGUAGAGGGUAGCGGAAUUCCCGGUGUAGCAGUGAAAUGCGUAGAUAUCGGGAGGAACAUCCGUGGCGAAGGCGGCUACCUGGACCAGCACUGACACUGAGGCACGAAAGCGUGGGGGAGCAAACAGGAUUAGAUACCCUGGUAGUCCACGCCCUAAACGAUGCGAACUGGAUGUUGGGG